Molecule: long non-coding RNA, 306 nt
Filed under: Monodelphis domestica (gray short-tailed opossum)
Lineage: Eukaryota; Metazoa; Chordata; Mammalia; Didelphimorphia; Didelphidae
Description: lncRNA (ENSMODG00000049839.1)
Source: RNAcentral
AUGGAAAUUUAUCCAUGGUUCCUUUGGGAGUCUAUGGACCAUUGGUUGAGAAUCCCUUUUCUCAGAUUUCAUUUCCCUGCAAAUGAAAAGGACAUUGACAAACUGGAACAUAUCCAGAAGUAUUAUUCUUCCAGGAUGUUUCUCUUAAGCUCUAUAGAUCCUAUGAUUCUGGCACCCAUUGAGGCAGGGGAAAAAAUCAGGACAACAUCCAUGAACAAUACUUUGAGUGUGGGAUUCUGGAAGAGGAAACUGAAGCAGACAGGACGAAGUAACUUGUCCAGGAUCACACAGCUAGAAAGUAUCUGA